AGUGCCUCUGAAAUAAUCCCAUUUGUAACCCUAAAUGGUUAUAUGAUGGUAGGCCUCAGAGGUAGAUCGUAUUGUAGCUAGACGCGACAGAAUAUACGACACGUGUAUAGCCUGUGUUAAUGUAUGCUUGCACAUUUUU
RNAcentral lists this small nucleolar RNA (139 nucleotides) under Bombyx mori (domestic silkworm). Its description in RNAcentral is "Bm_116". The record is from RNAcentral. Lineage: Eukaryota; Metazoa; Arthropoda; Insecta; Lepidoptera; Bombycidae.